Molecule: ribosomal RNA, 273 nt
Filed under: Klebsiella pneumoniae
Lineage: Bacteria; Pseudomonadati; Pseudomonadota; Gammaproteobacteria; Enterobacterales; Enterobacteriaceae
Description: partial 16S ribosomal RNA
Rfam family: Bacterial small subunit ribosomal RNA
Source: RNAcentral
CGGUCCAGACUCCUACGGGAGGCAGCAGUGGGGAAUAUUGCACAAUGGGCGCAAGCCUGAUGCAGCCAUGCCGCGUGUGUGAAGAAGGCCUUCGGGUUGUAAAGCACUUUCAGCGGGGAGGAAGGCGGUGAGGUUAAUAACCUUGUCGAUUGACGUUACCCGCAGAAGAAGCACCGGCUAACUCCGUGCCAGCAGCCGCGGUAAUACGGAGGGUGCAAGCGUUAAUCGGAAUUACUGGGCGUAAAGCGCACGCAGGCGGUCUGUCAAGUCGGA